CAGCUUUUAAGAUUCUUUCCAGCUUUAUGCAGUGAUAGAGGCCAAGGCAUUCAGGAGUGGAGUUGAUCAAGGUCAGGAUUUGUCUUCUUUCAUAAAUCGUGUAGGCAAGAGCAAAUGACACGAAACCCAGAAUAACCAAAUGUUGGGAGUAGGAAGAUAGAAAACAUUGCUGAGUCCAGGGAGUGGAGAAGAGGUAAUAACUAGCAGGUAGUCACCUGGACAGAGGCAUGAAAGAGGAAAUAUUUAAGCCAGAAGGAAUCUGAGGUAGAAACAAUUAAAGCAGAAACCACGGUAUACAGAAGACUCCGGCAGUGUUUAAGAAGUUUCUUUGGCCCAGGGGCAUCAAUAAUGAUAAGACAUUCAGAAAACUCUUCAAGACCACUGUUUUCAAAAAAGGGGGAGUUGCAGAGAGGAUUUGGGGCACAACUGAAAAUAAGGAACCGACACAAUAAAACAUCUCUCAGAUGCUUGGAGGAUCAAACUCAGUCUCAGUUGCUGAGAUCACUAGUACGGCCCAAGGGCAUGGGCCUUCUGUGCUUCUUCAAUUUCAAAGGUUGGCUGGCUCACUGCCCCAGCCCGCCCCAUGGAAACCCUGAGCAAGGCACAUCUCCUGCGUGGUUUCUGAAAGGCAGAAGAUAAAUGUCUAUCCACAGCGAAAACAGUAGAAGAGCCCUUCAGCACAUCUCUGGCCAGAAAGCUGAGGGUUGGUGGCAGGGCGCCCACACAUUCAACUUGCCAGUAACAGUCCAGGGUCUUGUUGUUCUGCAUUUGCACAGAAAUUUAGACAGUCAUGGAAGUCAAAGAAUGCAGAUGACACUGUAGUUCCAACCCCACAGCCCAUGUGUCACCUCCUUUGUUUCAGUCACUUCAUGGAUGUCAUCUUUUGAAAAUGAUCUAAGUCACAUGAAGGCUUCCCAGCCACUCCUAGCUUCACAUAAUUGUAUCCUUUUCUAAAAUCCUGACCUUCCCUUAACCCAUUUCUCUGCAGUGCCAGCAUCUCACCAGUCUCCGAAAAGCAAUCCCCUUUCUAUUCUGAAUCAGUGAUCCUCUUCUUCAUCAGAACUGAUUCUUACCUUCAACCAUUAAAUCAGAUGAUUUCUUGAGAUUCCUUCCAGAUACAGUAUCAGUCAAUGUCCCCCACUCACUUAUUCACUCUCCUUAGAAUACAUAUAUAUUCAGAAAAAAAAAAUGACAUUGAUCCUAUCUAUCUUCCCUCCUCUUCAAAUACAGGUUCCUAAAGUGUCCAGUUUACAAGUCAAUUCACUGCUGGAUAAUUUAAUAUGUGGCUUACUCUCUAUAUGCCAUAGAGGCAGUGUGCUUAAUAAGGUCCCUAAAGACCUCAUUUUCAAUGCAUUGAGCAUCUCCCCUCUCUCCUCCUCAUUCUCUCUUAUCCUAAGGGUGUGUGUGUGUGUGUGCAUUGCACACGGUAUUGUCUCAAUUGUGUCCCCCCAACAAUUCAUGUUGCAUCCCUAAUCCCCAAGGUGACUGUAUUUGGAGAUAGGGCCUUUAAGGUGGUAACUAAGUUUAAAUGAGAUCAUAAGGGUGGGGCCCGAAUCCCACAGGACUGGUGUCCUUAGGAGAAGGGACACCAGAGAGCUGUCUUUCUCUGCACAUGUGAGCACACACACAGAGGAAAGGCCAUGUGAGGACAAGGCGAGAAGGCACCGUCAGGCAAGCCAGGAAGAGAGGCCUCACCAGAAACAAAAUUUACUGGCACCUUGAUAUUGGACUUCUAGUCUACAGAACAGUGAGAAAAUAAAUUUCUGUUGUUUUAAGCCACCUGGUCAGUGAUAUU
Molecule: long non-coding RNA, 1795 nt
Filed under: Homo sapiens (human)
Lineage: Eukaryota; Metazoa; Chordata; Mammalia; Primates; Hominidae
Description: HSALNT0199334
Source: RNAcentral